Molecule: long non-coding RNA, 2443 nt
Organism: Megalobrama amblycephala (Wuchang bream)
Lineage: Eukaryota; Metazoa; Chordata; Actinopteri; Cypriniformes; Xenocyprididae
Exons: 4
Source: RefSeq, a predicted model, not a curated record
GAGACACUGGCGUGGCAUGGCGAGACUCUGGCGUGGCAUGGCGAGACUCUGCCGUGGCCUGACGAGACUCUGGCGUGGCCUGGCGAGACUCUGGCGUGGCAUGACGAGACUCUGCCGUGGCAUGGCGAGACUCUGGCGUGGCAUGGCGAGACUCUGCCGUGGCAUGACGAGACUCUGCCGUGGCAUGACGAGACUCUGGCGUGGCAUGGCGAGACUCUGCCAUGGCCUGACGAGACUCAGGCGUGGCAUUUCAAAACCAAAACACCCGUGACAACGGUGUAUCAAAACAAGACUGAAGUAUUAGCUACUACUAUUUUUCUUCACAGUACGCCACAAUCAAGCAUAGGUAAGUAAACUACUUUCUACAGUAUUUUAUGUUUCUGUAUUUAUUAUAAGAAACUGAAUGUUUUGAAGCUCUUAAAGCUCAAGAACAGUUGGUGAAUUCUUGUUGUUGUUUUAUCGGUAAAUAACAGUCAUCAUAGUUUGGGCAGAAAACAAAAGGAAGUUCAGUGUUUUACAAAAUAGCAGCAAAACUGGAAUGAAGACUUGCCAUAUAAAAAAACCCAGGCUACAAAAAUUAUGUGAUGUUUAUUUUAUUCAGAAGUUUGCAUUUUAUAGAAAUGUACUUUAUAGCACACAUUCUACAUUGUACAAGCUCCAUAAAGUUUAUACAGUUUAUACAUACUCAAGAGGUAUAUCGAAUUACAAAAGCUUUUUAUUCCAAUAAAACUAUAAAAAAAAAAAAACUAUAAAAUUUUCCGAAUGAGCAAGAUGCAGCAAGAUGUUUUAUCUUUUGAAUCAGAAGCAAGAGUCUUGUUUCAGUCCCACAGUGGCAGGCUCUUCCACAGAAUCUGGGCAGCAGUACACUGGAAGACAGAUAAAAACAAACAACCUGCCAGUAUCUCCAGUCCAAUUUAAGCAAUAAAGCAAACUAGUUCCUACUCUCACUCGUGCACACAAUAACCAACCACAGCACAACAACAUCAAAACCCAGUAUCACAUCACUAAACAAAAAAAUAAAUAUAAAUAAAAAGGAAAAAGUGACUAUUGACUAGCAUACUGGCAAUUAGUUAUCUCGGUCUCUACUAGGGGUGCAACGAUUCUCUGUAAAAAAUCGAACCGUACUGUUCUGAUACCUGGAAUACCUGGAGGAAACUCAUGAUGACACGGGAGAACAUGCAAACUACACUAUAUGACCCUAGAAAAAACAGUCACUUUUAGGAAGGAAAAGGGCAGAUGCCCCCUUUGAUGUCUAUGCAUUUCACGUGCCUGCAUAGUCAUAUCAUGAUUCUCAACGUCACAUUCAUGCUUUCUUCAAAUGUUUUUUGUUACAGAUUUUGCAGAAACAACGCCCACAGAAGAAAAUGGGAGGAAAAAGUUCAAAAGAGAGAAAGCGAGAAAUGGAUAGAAGAGAGAUGGAACUGAAGAAAAUGAGGGAGGAACUGGACAGAAGGGAGGAGCAACUGAUGAGGAGAAAUUGCUGUUGCUGCAUCAUUAAAACGGACCAAGCUAACAUCACCUGUAACAACUUCGUUUGCUUUCAGGUUCACUGGUGAUUUCAUAUAAUUCUGUUGCUGCUGACCACUUGGACUGGUGCUGGAGUUUGAAUUUCCCUGGGUUACCGUUCGCCUCUCUGGACUACUUUGUUGCCCUGUUGGUUCUGUUUGCCCCUCGCGUGAUCAUCCUGUCUGUCUGACAUUGAUUCUUGUCUCACGAUUUGGAUUUGAUUGCCCUGGACUCUGACCCCUGCCUGCCUGACUAUUCUUCUCUCUACUGUCCAGAACUGAUUUGGAGCCAUGUGGCUUGAACUGUCUCUAUUAUUGUGCUGCAGUAGAUUGGAUUUAAUACUUCUGCUUUUGAGUCCUUCCUUCCUGAGAUUGUAACAUCAUCAUUUCACAUCAAGUUACAGCAAAGACUAUAGAUACAGUGGGUACGGAAAGUAUUCAGACCCCCUUACAUUUUUCACUUUUGUUAUAUUGCAGCCAUUUGCUAAAGUCAUUUAAGUUUAUUUUUUUCCUCAUUAAUGUACACACAGCACCCCAUAUUGACAGAAAAACACAGAAUUGUUGACAUUUUUGCAGAUUUAUUAAAAAAGAAAAACUGAAAUAUCACAUGGUCCUAAGUAUUCAGACCCUUUGCUGUGACACUCAUAUAUUUAACUCAGGUGCUGUUCAUUUCUUCUGAUCAUCCUUGAGAUGGUUCUACACUGGUGUUGUCACGGUACCAAAAUUCCAGUAGUCGGUACCUGUAGCGGAACACUGGAUGCACCACAGGAUCAACUCAGAAUGAGAACAAACACCAGUAAUGCCUUUUCUUGGGUGUUACAACAAUCAAAUCAUCUGUUCUGGUUUCACAAUCUCUCUUCAGAAUGUUUCACACAGACUCAAAUUACAGGUUGUUUUCUUUACAGUAUCUUAAAUUGUUCCACUCAAUAAAAUGCAUU